RNAcentral lists this small RNA (22 nucleotides) under Arabidopsis thaliana (thale cress). RNAcentral's name for it is "ATSL110290". Lineage: Eukaryota; Viridiplantae; Streptophyta; Magnoliopsida; Brassicales; Brassicaceae. The record is from RNAcentral.
AUUAUAAAGAGCGUGGACGGAG